UACAGAGGUCUCAAGCGUUGUUCGGAUUCAUUGGGGGUAAAGGGUGCGUAGGUGGCGCCGUAAGUCGGGUGUGAAAUUUCGGAGCUUAACUCCGAAACUGCAUUCGAUACUGCGGUGCUUGAGGACUGGAGAGGAGACUGGAAUUCAUGGUGUAGCAGUGAAAUGCGUAGAGAUCAUGAGGAAGACCAGUGGCGAAGGCGGGUCUCUGGACAGUUCCUGACACUGAGGCACGAAGGCCAGGGGAGCAAACGGG
This 253-nucleotide ribosomal RNA is filed under the name uncultured bacterium. RNAcentral's name for it is "partial 16S ribosomal RNA". It matches the Rfam family "Bacterial small subunit ribosomal RNA", at positions 524 to 776 of the family's 1533-position model. The record is from RNAcentral.